GGCCAAGUAAAGAAUUCUACAUUCACAUUCAUACAUUGUUAUAUCAAAAAUUCAUAUAUACAUGUUUGUCUGUACUAAAAGUUGAUGUAGGCCAAGUAAAAAUUCAUUGUUUUUCAAAGUACUCAAAUAUUCUUUGUAAUAUUUUCUUGUUUUUUGUCACUCUGACAUCUCCUGUUUUAACUGACUUUUCUGACAGUAAUGCUAUUAACCCCAUUUUACCACCUCUAUCUAUAGACAUUUUCAAAUGGCAUAAUUUCAGAUUUGAUUUAGCUGCUUUCAGUGCCAUAGCUUUUCAAAUUACUUUUUCCUUUAUUACUUUGGAAUAUGUUUUCAAAUUGCACAACUGCAAAUGGUACUGGUCAGGAUAGUUUGGUGAAAAAGCUAAAUCAUCAAGGUAAUUGGAAAUAUUUCCCUUGUCAAUUAUUAAUUUGAGCAAUAAUCUUGCAUCAUGGACAGCAUUAUGUGACUCGUACUCUUGUCCUAGUAAGUUAUUAACUAAAAAAGACUGACUGUAUGAUGCUAAACCAGGAACAACAUGUUUAAACAAAUUCAAAGAAUCUAUAAAACAAGAUAUUUGUGAAGAAAAUUCAUUCC
This 594-nucleotide long non-coding RNA is filed under the name Mytilus galloprovincialis (Mediterranean mussel). The record is from RNAcentral. Lineage: Eukaryota; Metazoa; Mollusca; Bivalvia; Mytilida; Mytilidae.